Molecule: long non-coding RNA, 2295 nt
Organism: Solanum pennellii
Lineage: Eukaryota; Viridiplantae; Streptophyta; Magnoliopsida; Solanales; Solanaceae
Exons: 3
Source: RefSeq, a predicted model, not a curated record
GAUAAUUUACAUCAGCCAAUUACUCAACCCUUCACCCCAAUCUUCUAUCAAAUAACCCAGGCCCAAAUUCAAGCAAAUACCAAAGCAGCCCUUCAAUUCAAUUCAAUAGAAACCCAUUACAUACAACAACAUCACCAAUAGCAUGUAGUUGAAAAUCGACCCGACAUCAGAAUCUACGUGUUCUUCUCCUCCAGCAGUUCAACGCGAAGAAAACCCAAAAAAUGAAUCCAGUCCAGCAGCGACUCAGCCAAGAUCGUGAGGCCUAGCUCGCUGCCUCGUCCUCUCUUACUCUCGUGUGUCGUCCUCUUCUCUUGUAUUAAGAACAAUUUAGAGAAUCCGUCCAGGUGGCCCAUAUUCAUCCUUUUCCCUUAAUCGGACGACUUUUCCUUUGAGUUCCGUUGGAAAUUUGUAUUCAUUCCAGCUACACACUUAUCUUUUAAGGAAAAUUCGAAUUUUGAGUUGAAAAUUACUCCAACUCCUCACCCUAUUUCCCCCCAUUUUAAACCUAGUUCUUCUCCUAUAAAUAGUAGUUUCUUCUUCUUUGAAUGGGCGGGAGAUAAAGUUGAAAUAAAAUGGGGAAAAAAAAGUUGGAAAAAACAGAGGAAGGAACAGCUUGCAUUGAGUUGGACGCGAUACUGAGAGAAAAUAUUGGGGAAACUUUAGUUGGAAGAGUCAAGAAAAGGUUUUGUUCUCAUUUUUCGAACGCGAUUUUUUAUCGGAAUCUCUCGGAGUCGUCGGAAGUCGCUGCCCUACAAGCUCAUCAGUAGCUGCCCGGAAAAAGGUAUACAGUCGUACAACGAGCUCCAAGCUCUAGUAGCAUAAAGAACCAGACAAGCUCCCAGCUCUGAAACUCCAUUCUCCAUUUUGCGUUUCUCCUCCAUCAGAUCUGAACGAAAAAUUCAUAAUAAAUGUGUUUUGACAGGUACCUCGGAGUUGCUUCUCAUCGAAGCUAUUCCAAUGAAUUCAAAUGUACUUAAUAUUCAUUAUUGUGUAUAUUAUUGAUGUUAAGCAAACCUUAGACCGAUACUUACAUUAUUAUUUUAUUUUAUUAUUUGUGUAUAUUACAUGUUAAUUGUACUUGUAUAUUGAUUUAUUUCCUCCUCAAUUUGAAAAAAUGAAUUCAGUCGGGACCCAUGAUUGAGAAUUUCGAAGAGUGUCUAACACCUUCCCUUCGGAAUCACUUGAACACCUUACCCAGAACUAAUGGUUUCAUAGAUUACAUAAAGUGGUUUCCUGGUUUUCCUAAAAUUAGGUGGCGACUCAUUUAAAAUUCAUUUAUUUUUAAACAUCUUUUAAAACUGACUUAAUUAAUUAUUUUUUGAGUCAACGCGACGUUUUUUCCUAUUUGAAUAGAGUGGGGAUGUAAACAGAUUGACGACUCCGCUGGGAAUCUUAAAUUUUUAACCAAUAUUAAUUUAUUAUUUUCAAAUUGAGGGGCAUUCUCUUUUAUUGUGCUAUAACUUGUAUUCUGUAUAUUUUGUUGAUUAUUUGUAUAUCAUACUUGUUGUUCAUUCAUUAUUCAUUUUCUUUGUAUGUAUAAUUUCAUUGCGUUCAUGAUAUGUUCUAUUGUAUGUAUAGUAUAUUAAAGAACGAUUUUGCGGGACUGCAACUGUACUUCUUUAUAAUCAAUUGUUUUUCGAAAUGAUCGACAAUUAUUGGGUCGUCAUGCGUCUGAUGGUGGUCCUGAAUUUUAGCCUAAGUUGUCAACUUGAGUUCACGGUCUUUUAAAAGCCACUCUUAGUCAAUUAGUGUAGAGCUAAACAAAAUCUCGAUUUCUAGCGUAUUUCGAACUAAGCUAACCCAACACCCAAGGCGUGUUGGGCCCAUUCAAGAGAUCACCUUGAGUCUAAAAUGGCUCAUUGCCUAAACGGACAUUUAUACUUACUUGUUUAAAUUUAAAGGAUGUAUACGUUGUUUAAAAAAUGAUUGUCUAGUUUAUUCUAGUUGAAGAAAGUUUCACAAGCUAUUACUUUAUCCAAAAAUGUUGACAUCCAGAGAAGACAAGAAAUCAAGAAAGAAGAAGGACCUUUCAUGGAUGCAUAGUUUAGGGUUGUGCCCCUGCGUAUGACUGAUUAGUGAUUAUUUUGUAUCCCUUUUUUCGUGAUAUGUAUCCCAUUAAGCUUUAUUCAUAAAGAUUGUAUGAAUUUCUGGUUUGGUCAAUGACGUAUUUCAGAUGACGUUAUUCAUCCUUCAAAUCGGUAGGUCUAUUCUUGGCAUAAAAGGUUCCAUAUUUGUAUAGGAUGCACAAUAAUUGUUUGUAUGUUAUGUGAUGUAUAUAAUUGAGUUUGUCUUCAA